RNAcentral lists this ribosomal RNA (227 nucleotides) under uncultured bacterium. Its description in RNAcentral is "partial 16S ribosomal RNA". It matches the Rfam family "Bacterial small subunit ribosomal RNA", at positions 524 to 751 of the family's 1533-position model. The record is from RNAcentral.
UACGGAGGGGCUAGCGUUGUUCGGAAUUAUUGGGCGUAAAGAGCUCGUAGGCGGUCUGUUGCGUCCGCUGUGAAAACUCGGGGCUUAACCCCGAGCCUGCAGUGGAUACGGGCAGACUAGAGGUAGGUAGGGGAGAAUGGAAUUCCCGGUGUAGCGGUGAAAUGCGCAGAUAUCGGGAGGAACACCGGUGGCGAAGGCGGUUCUCUGGGCCUUACCUGACGCUGAGG